CAGUCGAACGAUGAAGCCCUUCGGGGUGGAUUAGUGGCGAACGGGUGAGUAACACGUGGGCAAUCUGCCCUUCACUCUGGGACAAGCCCUGGAAACGGGGUCUAAUACCGGAUAACACUCUGUCCCGCAUGGGACGGGGUUGAAAGCUCCGGCGGUGAAGGAUGAGCCCGCGGCCUAUCAGCUUGUUGGUGGGGUAAUGGCCUACCAAGGCGACGACGGGUAGCCGGCCUGAGAGGGCGACCGGCCACACUGGGACUGAGACACGGCCCAGACUCCUACGGGAGGCAGCAGUGGGGAAUAUUGCACAAUGGGCGAAAGCCUGAUGCAGCGACGCCGCGUGAGGGAUGACGGCCUUCGGGUUGUAAACCUCUUUCAGCAGGGAAGAAGCGAAAGUGACGGUACCUGCAGAAGAAGCGCCGGCUAACUACGUGCCAGCAGCCGCGGUAAUACGUAGGGCGCAAGCGUUGUCCGGAAUUAUUGGGCGUAAAGAGCUCGUAGGCGGCUUGUCACGUCGGAUGUGAAAGCCCGGGGCUUAACCCCGGGUCUGCAUUCGAUACGGGCUAGCUAGAGUGUGGUAGGGGAGAUCGGAAUUCCUGGUGUAGCGGUGAAAUGCGCAGAUAUCAGGAGGAACACCGGUGGCGAAGGCGGAUCUCUGGGCCAUUACUGACGCUGAGGAGCGAAAGCGUGGGGAGCGAACAGGAUUAGAUACCCUGGUAGUCCACGCCGUA
Molecule: ribosomal RNA, 728 nt
Filed under: Streptomyces sp. YIM232
Lineage: Bacteria; Bacillati; Actinomycetota; Actinomycetes; Kitasatosporales; Streptomycetaceae
Description: bacterial SSU rRNA
Rfam family: Bacterial small subunit ribosomal RNA
Source: RNAcentral